CAGGGUGAGCCAGCGGCGCCUGCGAGAGGCUGUCCGAACGGGGCAACACACAGUGACUCUUCCACACAGUGUUCUUCUCGUGCCCCAUCACUUGCAGUUCAGGCACUGCCUAAUCCAGAGGUACUGUCUACACACCAAUUUUUAGGGCAAAGAGCAUGAGUGGGACAGGACAUUCUUCUUUCAAUCUUUUCUACUUCUCAUGGAUUUCUCCUAAGAAACUUCAGUGCAAGAGGAGCCUUGCCACAAUCUGGCAGCGUCACUGCUACAGGACUGAGCUUGAAGACAGCCCUGCUUUUUAUCCAGUGCUUUUCCACAAGGAUGUUUCAGGUAGGAAGGAGUGGCUAAGUUCCUCAAA
RNAcentral lists this long non-coding RNA (355 nucleotides) under Dromaius novaehollandiae (emu). Its description in RNAcentral is "lncRNA (ENSDNVG00000005116.1)". Lineage: Eukaryota; Metazoa; Chordata; Aves; Casuariiformes; Dromaiidae. The record is from RNAcentral.